Molecule: ribosomal RNA, 497 nt
Filed under: uncultured bacterium
Lineage: Bacteria
Description: partial 16S ribosomal RNA
Rfam family: Bacterial small subunit ribosomal RNA
Source: RNAcentral
GAUGAACGCUGGCGGCGUGCUUAAUACAUGCAAGUCGAGCGAAAAGACGAGGAGCUUGCUCCUCUGACGUUAGCGGCGGACGGGGGAGUAACACGUGGAUAACCUACCUAUAAGACUGGGAUAACUUCGGGAAACCGGAGCUAAUACCGGAUAAUAUAUUGAACCGCAUGGUUCAAUAGUGAAAGACGGUUUUGCUGUCACUUAUAGAUGGAUCCGCGCCGCAUUAGCUAGUUGGUAAGGUAACGGCUUACCAAGGCAACGAUGCGUAGCCGACCUGAGAGGGUGAUCGGCCACACUGGAACUGAGACACGGUCCAGACUCCUACGGGAGGCAGCAGUAGGGAAUCUUCCGCAAUGGGCGAAAGCCUGACGCAGCAACGCCGCGUGCGUGAUGAAGGUCUUCGGAUCGUAAAACUCUGUUAUUAGGGAAGAACAGGUGUGGAAGUAACUAUGCACGUCUUGACGGUACCUAAUCAGAAAGCCCCGGCUAACUACGUG